RNAcentral lists this ribosomal RNA (253 nucleotides) under uncultured bacterium. Its description in RNAcentral is "partial 16S ribosomal RNA". It matches the Rfam family "Bacterial small subunit ribosomal RNA", at positions 524 to 776 of the family's 1533-position model. The record is from RNAcentral.
UACGGAGGGUGCAAGCGUUGCUCGGAAUUAUUGGGCGUAAAGGGUAGGUAGGUGGUCUCAUUUGUCUGGGGUGAAAUCCUUGAGCUUAACUCAAGAAGUGCCCCAGAAACGGUGAGACUUGAGUCCUGGAGAGGGUCGUGGAAUUCCCGGUGUAGCGGUGAAAUGCGUAGAGAUCGGGAGGAACACCAGAGGCGAAGGCGGCGGCCUGGACAGGAACUGACACUCAACUACGAAAGCGUGGGGAGCAAACAGG